This 506-nucleotide ribosomal RNA is filed under the name uncultured bacterium. RNAcentral's name for it is "partial 16S ribosomal RNA". It matches the Rfam family "Bacterial small subunit ribosomal RNA", at positions 28 to 523 of the family's 1533-position model. The record is from RNAcentral.
GAUGAACGCUAGCGGCAGGCCUAACACAUGCAAGUCGAGGGGCAGCACAUAAAGUGGUUUACUACUUUUGGUGGCGACCGGCGGACGGGUGCGUAACGCGUAUGCAACCUGCCUCCAACAGGGGGAUAACGGAGAGAAAUUUCCACUAAUACCCCAUAAUAUCAGAAUCGGCAUCGGUUUUGGUUGAAAACUCCGGUGGUUGGAGAUGGGCAUGCGUCGUAUUAGAUCGUUGGUGAGGUAACGGCCCACCAAGUCAACGAGACAUAGGGGGACUGAGAGGUUAGCCCCCCACACUGGUACGGAGACACGGACCAGACUCCUACGGGAGGCAGCAGUGAGGAAUAUUGGUCAAUGGGGGCAACCCUGAACCAGCCAUGCCGCGUGCAGGAAGACGGCUCUAUGAGUUGUAAACUGCUUUUACAAGGGGAUAAAUCGGUGUACGUGUACACCGUUGAAGGUACCUUGGGAAUAAGGAUCGGCUAACUCCGUGCCAGCAGCCGCCGUAA